RNAcentral lists this ribosomal RNA (507 nucleotides) under Bathycoccus prasinos. RNAcentral describes it as "SSU rRNA". It matches the Rfam family "Eukaryotic small subunit ribosomal RNA", at positions 627 to 1146 of the family's 1831-position model. Lineage: Eukaryota; Viridiplantae; Chlorophyta; Mamiellophyceae; Mamiellales; Bathycoccaceae. RNAcentral also lists the same sequence under 1 other name. The record is from RNAcentral.
CUCGUAGUUGGAUUUUGGUUAAGAGGGCGCGGUCGGCCGUUUGGUCUGUACUGCGUUGUCUUGACUUCCUGAUGAGGACAUGCUCUUGGUUAACGCUGAGACAUGGAGUCAUCGUGGUUACUUUGAAAAAAUUAGAGUGUUCAAAGCGGGCUUACGCUUGAAUAUAUUAGCAUGGAAUAACACUAUAGGACUCCUGUCCUAUCUCGUUGGUCUCGGGAUGGGAGUAAUGAUUAAGAGGAACAGUUGGGGGCAUUCGUAUUUCAUUGUCAGAGGUGAAAUUCUUGGAUUUAUGAAAGACGAACUUCUGCGAAAGCAUUUGCCAAGGAUGUUUUCAUUAAUCAAGAACGAAAGUUGGGGGCUCGAAGAUGAUUAGAUACCAUCCUAGUCUCAACCAUAAACGAUGCCGACUAGGGAUUGGUGGAUGUUAAUUGAUGACUUCACCAGCACCUUAUGAGAAAUCAAAGUUUUUGGGUUCCGGGGGGAGUAUGGUCGCAAGGCUGAAACUCA